RNAcentral lists this ribosomal RNA (396 nucleotides) under uncultured bacterium. RNAcentral describes it as "partial 16S ribosomal RNA". It matches the Rfam family "Bacterial small subunit ribosomal RNA", at positions 523 to 918 of the family's 1533-position model. The record is from RNAcentral.
AUACGGAGGAUGCGAGCGUUAUCAGGAUUUAUUGGGUUUAAAGGGAGCGUAGGCGGGAGCUUAAGUCAGCGGUUAAAUGGUGCGGCUCAACCGUGCCCUGCCGUUGAAACUGGGUUUCUUGAGAGUGCAAGAGGCGGAUGGAAUUUAUGGUGUAGCGGUGAAAUGCUUAGAUAUCAUGAAGAACUCCGAUUGCGAAGGCAGUCCGCUGGGGCACGUCUGACGCUGAGGCGCGAAAGUGUGGGGAGCAAACAGGAUUAGAUACCCUGGUAGUCCACACUGUAAACGAUGAAUGCUAGGUGUAAGAGGUAUCGACCCCUUUUGUGCCGGAGUCAACACAAUAAGCAUUCCGCCUGGGGAGUACGGCCGCAAGGUUGAAACUCAAAUGAAUUGGCGGGG